Molecule: ribosomal RNA, 253 nt
Filed under: uncultured bacterium
Lineage: Bacteria
Description: partial 16S ribosomal RNA
Rfam family: Bacterial small subunit ribosomal RNA
Source: RNAcentral
UACGGGGGGGGCAAGCGUUGUUCGGAAUUACUGGGCGUAAAGGGCUCGUAGGUGGCCAACUAAGUCAGACGUGAAAUCCCUCGGCUUAACCCGGGAACUGCGUCCGAGACUGAAAGGCUUGAAUCCGGGAGAGGGAUGUGGAAUUCCAGGUGUAGCGGUGAAAUGCGUAGAUAUCUGGAGGAACAUCGGUGGCGAAGGCGGCAUCCUGGACCGGUAUUGACGCUGAGGCGCGAAAGCCAGGGGAGCAAACGGG